RNAcentral lists this long non-coding RNA (3227 nucleotides) under Xyrichtys novacula (pearly razorfish). Lineage: Eukaryota; Metazoa; Chordata; Actinopteri; Labriformes; Labridae. The record is from RNAcentral.
AGUUCAUCUUGAGCUUGGGGAAAUUCCAUAUUCACAAAAACAAAUGGGCCAAAUCUAAGCCAAACAUUGCACCCUUCAAAAAUGAACUGCUCCGUUAUGCUGCCACGAUCAAGGAUAUUAAGAACAAGAAAGCUACCAAAACAUACUCUAUAAUGAAGAAAUUCUGUACCAUUGAACUGUAAGUCCUCUGGCUGUUGUAUGGUUGUGUUUUGUUUUCUGUUUUUGUCGUUAUUGUUGUGAUGUGUCUCUCGUUGGUUGUACUGUCUGUCUUGUUCAAUAAAAAAAAAAAAAAGCUGCAGCGCAAAGAUGGCGGACCCAAAGAUGAAAAAACGCGAUGAAAAAACGCAAUAAAUUUCCGCAUUACCUCCGAUUGGCGGACCCAAAACAAUUACUUCCGGUGGAUAGGCUUUCUCGUUGGCGGACUUCCGGUGCCGAAAUGCUUCAGGUAGUCGGAUUUAGUCGCCGGAUCCUUUUUUUUUCGCUCCGUUCAUUCCAUAAGAAUCGAAUUAAAUUUAUUAUUAAGCUAAAAAUCAAAAUAAAACGUUUAUGUAUUAAUUAUGACUACUGUUUUGUUCUGAUUUAAUUCUGAAAUUUACAGUAAUAUGUAUACAUAGACUAAUGUCCUCAUAUUCUGAUAAUUUGUCAGAAUAGGUAAAUGUAUGUAGAAGUUAUCAUCUUACUCAAAUUCUUUUGUAAGAGUUUGCUACAAGUAUGGACUGUUUUAACCUCUCGUUACAAAUCAUAUAAGAGUGUUUUCUAACUUCUCUCUCCAAUAGCUUUAUUACACAGCACAUCAAUGUUUCUUAACUUCUCUGUGACCUUGUUUCUCCACUCCUAUUAGGACCUCGUUUAAUGUCAACAAUGUUGCCCUGACCCUCACAUAUUUUCUGUUGUUCAUAAUUAUGUUUUAUGAGAGUGCUUAUGUUGCUGCACAUAUUUUUCCCCCCAUCCUUUAGUAACAUUGUGUAACCAGGGACAUGAUUUAUGAAAUGGUGUGCUUCCUGGUGAACCUCUUCAGGAUUGCUUGACUGUGCAAAAUCCAAGUAUACAAUAGUUGUAGAGACACAAGUCACAUGAUCUCUUUAAGGUUCAGAAGAGCCAUAUAGCAAAAACAAUUGAAUAGCGAUAUCAUUACAGACUGUGUAAAGAAAUGGGAAAUUGUCAUACAACUGCUUUGAAGAUUUCUUUAAUGUUUUCCAAACAAAAUUGUGAACAGUAAAAAAAAUAUAUAUAUAUACAAAAUUCAGAGCACUGCCGUCGGUGUGGUGGGGGGCUUAAAAUACGUUGCCACAGGCCAUCAUCAGCUCUGCUCUUAACCGGGUGAUGCCAUGCUCCUGAAGUGCUUUGAUCAAAAGCUGAAAUACAGUCAAAUAAUGUGAACAAUUGAAGUUAUGCAGUAUGGGUUAAUUGUUGUUCUUGAGCUUUCCAAAUGAAUAAGAACAACCUCUUAACAAUAUCAUCAAUUUUCAAAGCAAGCUAUAUAGUUUGAUCUACUCACCUCUGGGAGCAUGACAUCAAAAACGAAAUCAAGCAGAUGAAUCUCGCCUCUCUUUAUUUUUUUAGAAAUGGUUGUUGCCUCCUCAAUGAACCGCAGGAGCUCGAACAUCUAUUGAAGAAAAACACACAAAGUAAACACCUUUCAAAUGUAACACCUCUGAGAGUAAAAAUACUCAUGAUGGAUGGCAUUUUUACUUACGCGCUGCUCACUCCAACUUAAUGUCCUUAUCUUAAGGUGCUGCUUUAGUCGGAGUGAGGUGGCGGGAUUCCUCCAAAGGAACAUUCUAUUGGAGCGGAUCUUUCCAGACAGUAGAUCAUCAUGUAAUGUCUGAAACCAAAGAGCAAGAGACAAAAAUGUAAUCAUCUGAAAAAGAAACGGUGGCUUUAACAACUGAUAGUGCAUUCAAAAGCAACCUUGAUCUGUGUCUUAGAAAAGACAGCAUGAAUUCCUCCACUGUCAACAGCAUCCUUGAUCCUGCAGAGAAAUAAGAAAAAGAGCAAGCCCUCAUUUUUUCAUCCUUUGAGCCUCGUAUUUUUGACUGAUACUAUGUUUCCUUGAUAAAUUAUGUUAUACCGAGGAUGCUCAAUGGAGUCCUCGCACCUGCAGUCAAACGGCUCAAUUUCAAUCCCAGCACAAUCCUGAUGCAGCCAGCCCCUGCACGUCUUGCACUGGACCCAUUUCAUGAAGUUUACCUCAGGGUAAAGCAAUCUGAUCAAAUGAGAGACAAACAUAAUAUUAAACAAACACGCUGUCCAAUUGAUUAUACCUCUGCAGCACAUUUGAAUGUAUAAAUAAUUUUCCCUCAUGAUUCGUGCAUUUAAACUAUAUGUAAAAGUGGUCACUUCAUGGAAAAUCACUGAAUAGGCCCCGAUAAUUGCAUUUAUUAAAUUGAGUCUGCAACACACCUCUCUCCUGUGUUGUUCGAUGUCUGGUAGACACAGAAUUGCAUUGAAUCUGCCAUGCACAUUCUUUGGACAUCCGAUGCCAUCUGCGUCAUGGUUUCCUUGACAAGGCAAUUUGAAAAGUAACAUCAAUUACCAAAUACAUCGAGACAAUGUGUCCAUGUAGAUUCUCAUUCAUCCAGGUCAUGGUUAUCUUGAAGACUUAAAACAGGCAACUGGACAGUGUAGAGUUGAGAAGACGUUUCGCCUCUUAUCCAAGAAGCUUCUUCAGUUCUAAAAGUGCUAGUGUCAGGAGCAGAUAUUUAUCUUACUGGAGAAAGGGGGACAGGGGGACACACACCCAGAGAUGGGUUUCUAUGACCCAUUCUUUUCAACUCCACCCAGUCGUUAACUGUCCCCCUUCUCCAGUAAGGUAAAUAUCUGCUCCUGACACUAGCACUUUUAGAACUGAAGAAGCUUCUUGGAUAAGAGGCGAAACGUCUUCUCAACUCUACACAGUCCAGUUGCCUGUUUUAAGUCUUCAAGACAUCGAGACAAUGUUGAUCCAUACAACUGUGUGCAUUUUGAAGGACUCCCACUGAGAUAAUACUGUUUUUAGAAGGCAAUUUUCUAACCUCUGUGUCCUGCUGCUCUGCCUUCCUCUUUAGACUGAAGACCGGAGUAUGUUUUCCAGCAAUGAGCUCUUGACAUUCUUUGGUCCAGUGGGCGAAGAUUUUCCCACAACUGUAAUGACAAUAUAUCUUUAAGUACAAUAUAUUGAUUGUCUUCCAGUUAAUUAGGGCAUCUAGUUUACUUAAACUGUCUACCUGUUCAAAGAAUUGUUCUCC